AAGCUAGAGAUGCAUUUAAAAGCAACCCUGCUAAAGGAGAAGUGGUUUUAGUAGGAACACUAAAAAGUGUGCCCUUCUUCCUUGGGUGGUCAUGGUUCCACUCUGCUGUUUUCAUCCUGAGGGGCAGAUUAGGCUGAGAGAUGCCAUAGAAGCAACAACUGUGGUUCCAUGCGCUCAGCUCAACCUCCUUAAACCCAUUGAUGAUGCACCUUGUUGGUUGCAUGACGGUUUGUUUCUUGCACAAUAGUGGUAAAAGAGAAUUCAUAUACUGGGAAGUGUGGCUGCAAUUGUUGUUGUUCCCAAGCUGCUGUCUGUGAAGUUUCAGCCCAGUAUAUCUGAAGGAACGCCUACAGAAUCACCGAUUGUGCCGCCUGAUGAGAUCAGCCUCGCAAGACCUUCUCUCAGUCCCACCAGUGAGAAUAGCUAGGCUGGUACGGACCAGAGAGAGGGCAUUCUCUGUUGUGGCCCCCACCCUCUGGAACUCUCUCCCUUUCGAUCUCAGACAUGCUGCCUCCUUGUCCAGCUAUCGCCGAGCCUUGAAGACCUGGCUGUUCAGGCAGGCCUACAAGAUUGGGACAGAUUAACUUAUGUUACAAUUGAAUUAAUGAAUGGUUUUUUAGCUUAAAAUUUGAUUAUGUUGAUGUGUAUGUAUUGUUUUUAUUCUUGUUGUUCGUCGCCUAGAGUGUCCCUAACCUGGACAGAUAGGCGGCUGAAAAAUAAAUUUUAUUAUUAUUAUUAUUAU
Molecule: long non-coding RNA, 742 nt
Organism: Rhineura floridana
Lineage: Eukaryota; Metazoa; Chordata; Lepidosauria; Squamata; Rhineuridae
Exons: 4
Source: RefSeq, a predicted model, not a curated record